UACGAAGGGGGCUAGCGUUGUUCGGAAUCACUGGGCGUAAAGGGCGCGUAGGCGGCUGUUCAAGUCGGGGGUGAAAGCCUGUGGCUCAACCACAGAAUGGCCUUCGAUACUGUCGGGCUUGAGACCGGAAGAGGUAAGUGGAACUGCGAGUGUAGAGGUGAAAUUCGUAGAUAUUCGCAAGAACACCAGUGGCGAAGGCGGCUUACUGGUCCGGAUCUGACGCUGAGGCGCGAAAGCGUGGGGAGCAAACAGG
This 253-nucleotide ribosomal RNA is filed under the name uncultured bacterium. RNAcentral describes it as "partial 16S ribosomal RNA". It matches the Rfam family "Bacterial small subunit ribosomal RNA", at positions 524 to 776 of the family's 1533-position model. The record is from RNAcentral.